UACGGAGGAUCCGAGCGUUAUCCGGAUUUAUUGGGUUUAAAGGGUGCGCAGGCGGGAGAUUAAGUCGGCGGUGAAAUUUUGCAGCUCAACUGUAAAAGUGCCUUCGAAACUGGUUUCCUUGAGUGUAGAUGAAGUAGGCGGAAUUUGUGGUGUAGCGGUGAAAUGCAUAGAUAUCACGAGGAACUCCGAUUGCGCAGGCAGCUUACUAAACUACUACUGACGCUCAUGCACGAAGGCGUGGGGAUCAAACAGGAUUAGAUACCCGU
This 266-nucleotide ribosomal RNA is filed under the name uncultured prokaryote. RNAcentral describes it as "partial 16S ribosomal RNA". It matches the Rfam family "Bacterial small subunit ribosomal RNA", at positions 524 to 789 of the family's 1533-position model. The record is from RNAcentral.